This is a long non-coding RNA of Gambusia affinis (western mosquitofish), 347 nucleotides long. RefSeq lists it as uncharacterized. The record is from RefSeq and is a predicted model, not a curated record. The transcript has 3 exons. Lineage: Eukaryota; Metazoa; Chordata; Actinopteri; Cyprinodontiformes; Poeciliidae.
UUCCGCGAGAGCACGCGUUGCAAUUGUCAUGUGCUCCUUUACCUGAACCCUAAAUUUUGCAAUAACUGAUCUUAAGUAUGUCUCUUCAGCUACUUGCAUUCAUAUUGGGUAUUAAAACUGAUGUAACGUGAAUUCAGGCUUGAACAAAUUACAUGUACGCACUUUGUAAAUGAGUACGAUCAGCUCACGUGGCAGCAGCGUGAGCAGGCCGUGAAACACGAAGGAGCUGGACCAACAGAUUACCAAAAUAACAUGGUUGUGACUCAUCAAAUGGAAGGUGACUAGCCUUGAACUGAAGCAAGUUUCCAAUGUUGCACAUAACUUAACAAUGCAUAUUUAUAAUAAAA